ACCUCACUGACCUAAAAGCCUGAAGGUGUGAGAGUGAGCCAGGUGGAAGAAUGUUCCAGGAAAAGGGAACAGCAUGGGCAAAGCCCUGGGGUAGGAAGAUGCCUAGUGUGUUGACUCACGGCUAGGAAACCAACACAGCUGGAGAAAAUAAGAGAGGAUGAAGAGCAGAAAAGGGUCAGAAAGAUGAUAGGGGCCAGAGUAUCAGACCCUAAGUGGGAUGGGAAGCCUUUUGAGCAGAGAACAUGACAAAAUAUGACUUGUCUUUCAAAAUAACAUAAUGCGUUUUUCAUCCAGCAUAUGCAGAGUCCCUGAGGAGAGUCAAAGAACAUAUCAGUUCAUGAAGCUACAAGUUUCCUGGUGAGGGUCACAUGGUCCUUCUGCUGAUGGCCACACAUGUCCUGAUUCUCUUCUGGCCCGCUGCCCAACAGAAGUGGGAUGGCCAUUCAUUUGGGUCUCACUCCUGAAUAAAGCCAUCCAUUGGUGAACUGCAUAUUUAAUCCCCACCUCCUGAAUCUCCCAGAGAGGAGACUUCACCAGCUCAUGGUCCCGAUCUCCAAGGUAGGGGUCUUCACAAGCCUUGCCCCUGCCUUAGUCGUGAGGAUGCCGUGGAGGAUGUUGACCACUGUAUGACCCACAGGAAGUCCAUGCAAAAAAUGUCUUGUUUCUUCUAAGGAGCUGGUCUUUUUCUUUCAGGACCACAUGACAUUUGUAAUUAAUCAUGUUUCUUAUUUUCCUCUUUGCAAUGGUCUCCAGGAAGCCCAGAGCCCAAUUUUAAUAAUUACGUAAAACUUUGUAUGCCUGCCUGCUUGCCAUUCUUCUCCCUCUCAUCUCA
Molecule: long non-coding RNA, 832 nt
Organism: Camelus dromedarius (Arabian camel)
Lineage: Eukaryota; Metazoa; Chordata; Mammalia; Artiodactyla; Camelidae
Exons: 3
Source: RefSeq, a predicted model, not a curated record